UAAAGUUUAUUUCGUUUUUUAUAUUUUACAUUUAUUUCUUGAAUGCUACUAUUACAUUAACUGUAGCUGAAAAAAAUAAACCACUGUAUAUUUAAUUUGUAUAUUAUGUUGUUUAUAUGAAACUUUCUUUGUUUUUAUAUUUUUAAUAACAGAUUGGUUACCUGAGUACAUAUGUAUAAAGUACAGUUUCACUGUAUGAUUGUGAAUCUUAAUUGCUGUUUUUAACAGAGAUUUUUGACUUUUCUGUUCUUUUACAGAACACUAUUGCACACAAAAUGCUCUUACUCAGCAGAUGGGGACAGCUACCAUCACCCAAUUUUCUUUUGCACAAGCUGUGCAAAAGUGGCUGCGCUAUGCGCCAGACCGGGCAGGAGGGACUGGACGACAACUUAUGCAGGCAUCAGAUGACAAUGAAGUGUAAAUAAAGAGCAGAGAGGCUAAUAAACAUGAAUUUGAUUUUAAA
This is a long non-coding RNA of Carassius carassius (crucian carp), 463 nucleotides long. RefSeq lists it as uncharacterized. The transcript has 2 exons. The record is from RefSeq and is a predicted model, not a curated record. NCBI's taxonomy places the organism in Eukaryota, Metazoa, Chordata, Actinopteri, Cypriniformes, Cyprinidae.